AUGGAAUGGAGCUGGGUCAUCCUCUAUUUCCUGUCAGUAACUACAGGUGUCCACUCUCAGGUCCAGCUGCAGCAGUCUGGGGUUGAGCUGGGAAGACCUGGGUUUUCAGUGAAGUUGUCCUGCAAGGCUUCUGGCUACAGCUUCACCAGCUACUAUAUGUACUGGGUGAAGCAGAGUUCUGGACAAGGUCUGGAGUGGAUUGGAUGGAUUUAUCCUGAAAAUGGUGGUACUGGCUACAAUCAGAAGUUCAAGGGCAAGGUCACACUGACUGCAGACAAAUCCUCCAGUACAGCCUACAUGGAGCUCAGCAGCCUGAUAUCUGAGGACACUGCGGUCUAUUACUGUGCGAGACACACAGUGCUGCAACCACAUCCUGAGUGUGUCAGAAACUCUGUAGGAGCAGGAAGCUGCCCUGGGACUGAGAUGAAAGGGAAGAUUGAUCUGAAGAGUUGUUCAGAAAUAAUCAUUUUGAGCAUUCAUUUUUCUGCCUCCUCCCUGUACUAUAUUGCCCUUGUCAACUUUAUAAAAGGACAUCUAUGA
Non-coding RNA from Acomys russatus (golden spiny mouse), 540 nucleotides. The record is from the annotation of a RefSeq genome assembly. NCBI's taxonomy places the organism in Eukaryota, Metazoa, Chordata, Mammalia, Rodentia, Muridae.